CACGUCUGAACAAUUCUGGUGCAGCAUACUCAGGGGAGCCACAUUGUGUUUUGAGGAGUUUGUCACCUUCACAGAUGUUACUGAGGCCAAAGUCUGCAAGGAAAACAAAAGCACAUUUACAGACAGAAAUAGUAAAGAUUUGCUAGAGAAGAAGUAAGUCAAAAAAAGAAAGAAGAAAAGGCAAAGCAUUCACCUACAUAGAACAGAUUUUCGAUUCAAUCGAGAAAGGGUGAAGGAUACGGCAGAUGUAUUGGAUAUGACACACCUAGGAGUCUCCUCUAUGAAUGAGAUAUUGAAAAUGAUUGACAGAUGUGGUCCCUAAAAAACCAACUGAUGAUAAAACCACGGUUUGCGUGUAAAUUAUUGAAAAUAUGUUGGUACAAAACACAGGUUAUUUUUGAAACUUAAGGUUUUUUUCUUUCACCAUCACUCAAUGAAUACGGUACUUCUUUUUAUUGGCCUAAUGAAGAGUUUUCCUUGCUAGUGUCGCUCUUUAGCGCAUUUUUCUCGUCGAUAACAUUGAAAAACUUAAGCUGUUUGCGGUAAAAUUAAUUACAUGAAUAAAUUCAUUUUUUCUUUAGUCUCGGGUGACAAUUUAUCUCAGACGAUAUUCCAUUAUUUUUACUCAUUUGAAUAUGUUGAUCGACUUAGAUUGGUCCUUUUUACUUUCUUCAUGACAGUGUUUAUUCAGAUGUGGUGUUUUAGACCGAAUGAAUCGCGGAUAUUGCUUUUAAAGAAACUCAAUGUCUCCAGACACUUGUUGCGCACGGAAAUUAAGUGAUAUUUUUUUCACUUGGAAAAUAUGCCGUCAAUAAUUUAUGACUCGGCUGGAGGUGAACAGGCAGAUGGUCUCUUCAAUCUAGAAAUUAACAGACUCUUUAGUUUCAUGAUUCAUCUUCAUACAAAAUAACACGAAGUAGGGAAUUGUAAGUUUCUAAAAGUUGAAUGUAUUCUGCAAUCAUUAGCAUAUAAACCCAGCUUGCAGCUGGCUAAAUAAUGUUCAAAACUAACUGGAAGGUUUAAAAGCUUUCGUCUAGAAUCUACGGAAGUCGUAAUCUUCUGUUUUGAACACGUCGCUUAUUGUAUUUUGUAGAAACUCCCCAAUGUUUUUUUUAUUUUCAUUAAAAUAGGAGAGGAAAAAGC
This is a long non-coding RNA of Pocillopora damicornis (cauliflower coral), 1143 nucleotides long. The record is from RefSeq and is a predicted model, not a curated record. NCBI's taxonomy places the organism in Eukaryota, Metazoa, Cnidaria, Anthozoa, Scleractinia, Pocilloporidae.